CGUGUCUCUCGUACAGUAAUAUGUGGCCGUGUCCUCGGUCUUGAGGUUGUUCAUCUGCAGAGACACCGUGUUCUUGGCGUUGUCUCUGGAGAUGGUGAAUCGGCCCUUCACGGAGUCUGCGUAGAUUGUGCAGAUGGGAAGAG
This is a long non-coding RNA of Leopardus geoffroyi (Geoffroy's cat), 143 nucleotides long. RefSeq lists it as uncharacterized. Lineage: Eukaryota; Metazoa; Chordata; Mammalia; Carnivora; Felidae. The record is from RefSeq and is a predicted model, not a curated record. The transcript has 3 exons.